Molecule: ribosomal RNA, 275 nt
Filed under: uncultured prokaryote
Description: partial 16S ribosomal RNA
Rfam family: Bacterial small subunit ribosomal RNA
Source: RNAcentral
UACGUAGGUGGCGAGCGUUGUCCGGAAUUACUGGGUGUAAAGGGCGUGUAGGCGGGGAAGCAAGUCAGAUGUGAAAUCCCGGGGCUCAACUCUGGAGUUGCAUCUGAAACUGUUUUUCUUGAGUGCUGGAGAGGAAAGCGGAAUUCCUAGUGUAGCGGUGAAAUGCGUAGAUAUUAGGAGGAACACCAGUGGCGAAGGCGGCUUUCUGGACAGUAACUGACGCUGAGGCGCGAAAGCGUGGGGAGCAAACAGGAUUAGAUACCCCGGUAGUCCCU